RNAcentral lists this small RNA (202 nucleotides) under Staphylococcus aureus. RNAcentral describes it as "HMPRNC0000_2923". Lineage: Bacteria; Bacillati; Bacillota; Bacilli; Caryophanales; Staphylococcaceae. The record is from RNAcentral.
AAAUGCGUUAAGUCAUAAUCAUUUAAGUUCUGUAAUUUAGCCAUCAUACGAUAUUCUGUCGGUGUACAACAUAAAACAUUAAUUUGAUAUUUUUGAAGCAAUUCUAAGUAUGUUUCAGGACUGAACCUUCCAUUAAAUACAAAAGCAGUUGCACCUGAACCUAAUACAGAUAAGAAAGGACUCCAUACCCAUUUUUGCCAAC